AAAAGGAAACGAAAUAGAUGUCUUGUCGAUUCCAAAGUAUAUAUAUCUUCUCCAUCCCGCUCUCAGAUUUCCCAUCCGCCACAGCUCAAUCACAGAACAGCAAUGGCUUCUUCUUCUUCUUCUUCAGCAGCUCAACGCUUCCUCUGUUUUUCCCUUGCUCUGUUUCUCUUCUCUUCUUUCUCCUCUGCUCUCAGAUACCCGCCUUCUUCUUCUUCUUCUUCUUCUUCUUCUUCUUC
Molecule: long non-coding RNA, 236 nt
Filed under: Linum usitatissimum (flax)
Lineage: Eukaryota; Viridiplantae; Streptophyta; Magnoliopsida; Malpighiales; Linaceae
Description: long non-coding RNA (LUSI_LNC000424)
Source: RNAcentral